ACUCCAUUUUGCAAACAAAACGAUAAAAAGUGAAGAACCCGGUGGCUGUCCACAGGCUCUCAGGCCUCAGGCCAAUAACAAUUCCGAAAAUCUGGGCCGGGAAAGGCGGGCCUCGGGGCCUUAGGGCACCGCCCCAAAUCUUCCUUUGGUAACUAGGCAAAGCCUGCAGCUGCGUACUGCGCAAGCGCGCAGGGGUGGUCCGACAUAGGCCGGCUGGUUACCAAGCCGGAGGCAGUACCAGAUUCGCCGGGCUGUUUGGCUGUUGGCUCCGCCUCGGCCGGGCCCCGCCUCACCGGAUCCCGCCUCGUCACCCCUGUUAGCGCGCUCCCCUGCAGCAUGGAGUGUUCUGACUUCAGAGGAGACUGAUAACACAACUGUGCAUGUGAUUUUGUGGAUGUUCCUACAAGAGAUUGACUGCAUAGGCCAAUGUGUGUGCAAAGAGGCGGCUGUACAUUUAGGGAAUAGCUUCUUGAAACAUGUGGAAGCAAGACACUUGUCUCCGUAUGCUCUGCCCUGUGGGAACCUGAGCUAAAGCUGCGUUGGAGGCGGAUAUCCUUGGCUGCUCCAGGUUAGGAAGAAGAGCAUGCUCUUCUCCACCUGGGUCCCGAUUUUCCAUCAGCACUGGAGGAUCUGCUACUGCCCAC
Long non-coding RNA from Peromyscus eremicus (cactus mouse), 644 nucleotides. RefSeq lists it as uncharacterized. The record is from RefSeq and is a predicted model, not a curated record. The transcript has 3 exons. NCBI's taxonomy places the organism in Eukaryota, Metazoa, Chordata, Mammalia, Rodentia, Cricetidae.